CUGUUUCCAUAGAGAAGCCAUACAUUGUGUCCAGAAGGAUUGCGAGUAUUGUGUUGGGAAAUACAGAUCUUUUGAUCCUGGAGCUGGCUGGCUUAGCUCCUUGAUAAGCUCCUUGUUUCUCCUAUUAGAGAGAAAGUUAUUGGUGAGAUAAAAUCCUGCUGUAAUUCGAUUUCAACUUGACUGUAAAAUGUUCUUACUUGUAUAGGUCUGAAUUUUUGUAGAGUUGGGCAAAAUCGACUCCUAAAGCCGCUUCUUGAGAUGUGUUUGAGACUUCAAGCAUCCAGGUUGCUGGGUUGUACCCUUCUGUGAUCUUGUUGAUUCCUUGAAUACUCUGUUUCAGUGUCAACAAUACAUAUUCAGUC
This 362-nucleotide long non-coding RNA is filed under the name Capsella rubella. RNAcentral's name for it is "long non-coding RNA (CRUB_LNC004656)". The record is from RNAcentral. Lineage: Eukaryota; Viridiplantae; Streptophyta; Magnoliopsida; Brassicales; Brassicaceae.